Molecule: ribosomal RNA, 703 nt
Filed under: uncultured Entoloma
Lineage: Eukaryota; Fungi; Basidiomycota; Agaricomycetes; Agaricales; Entolomataceae
Description: eukaryotic LSU rRNA
Rfam family: 5.8S ribosomal RNA (bases 231-384)
Source: RNAcentral
UAUUGAAUAAACUUGGUUAGGUUGUUGCUGGCUUUUAGGAGCAUGUGCACGCCGACUCCAUCUUCAACCACCUGUGCACCUUGCGUAGAUCUGAACAUUUCGAGGAAACUCGGUUUAGGAAUUGCUGUGCGUAAGCCAGCUUUUCUUGUAUUUAGGUCUAUGUUUUCACAUACCCCAUAUGAAUGUAUACGAAUGUUGCAAUUGGCCUUGUGCCUUUAAAAAACAAAUACAACUUUCAACAACGGAUCUCUUGGCUCUCGCAUCGAUGAAGAACGCAGCGAAAUGCGAUAAGUAAUGUGAAUUGCAGAAUUCAGUGAAUCAUCGAAUCUUUGAACGCACCUUGCGCUCCUUGGUAUUCCGAGGAGCAUGCCUGUUUGAGUGUCAUGAAAUUAUCAACCUCUCUAGUUUCUGACUGGUUAGGCUUGGAUCAUGGAAGUUGCUGGCUCGCUUUGAAUCAGCUCUUCUUAAAUAUAUUAGCAAAGACUUUUGCUGACUAUCUUUGAUAUGAUAAUUAUCUAUAUCAUCGAUAACCAGUUCCCUUUCAUGGGGAGGUCUUGCUUCUAAUAGUCUUUCAGACAAUUUGAUAACUUUGACCUCAAAUCAGGUAGGACUACCCGCUGAACUUAAGCAUAUCAAUAAGCGGAGGAAAAGAAACUAACAAGGAUUCCCCUAGUAACUGCGAGUGAAGCGGGAAAAGCUCAAA